RNAcentral lists this ribosomal RNA (460 nucleotides) under uncultured bacterium. Its description in RNAcentral is "partial 16S ribosomal RNA". It matches the Rfam family "Bacterial small subunit ribosomal RNA", at positions 338 to 795 of the family's 1533-position model. The record is from RNAcentral.
CCUACGGGUGACAGCAGUGAGGAAUAUUGGUCAAUGGGCUUACGCCUGAACCAGCCAAGUCGCGUGAGGGAAGACUGCCCUAUGGGUUGUAAACCUCUUUUGUCAGGGAGUAAUUGGCGCCACGUGUAGCGUUAUGGAGAGUAUCUGUAGAAAAAGCACCGCCUACUUCCGUACCAGCAGCCGCGGUAAUACGGGGGACGCGAGGGUUAUCCGGAUUUUUGGGGUUAAAGGGGGGCGUAGGGGGAAUGCCAAGUAAGCGGUAAAAUCGCGGGGCUCAACCUCGCACCGCCGUUGAAACUGGCAUUCUUGAGUGGGCGUGAGGUAGGCGGAAUGCGUGGUGUAGCGGUGAAAUGCAUAGAUAUCACGCAGAACUCCGAUUGCGAAGGCAGCAUACCAGCGCCCAACUGACGCUGAAGCACGAAAGCGUGGGUAUCGAACAGGAUUAGAUACCCGAGUAGUC